RNAcentral lists this transfer RNA (67 nucleotides) under Drosophila guttifera. RNAcentral describes it as "tRNA-Thr". Lineage: Eukaryota; Metazoa; Arthropoda; Insecta; Diptera; Drosophilidae. The record is from RNAcentral.
UUUUAAUAGUUUAAAAAAAACAUUGGUCUUGUAAAUCAAAAAUAAAAUACAUAUAUUUUUUAAAACU